This is a long non-coding RNA of Hipposideros armiger (great roundleaf bat), 1431 nucleotides long. RefSeq lists it as uncharacterized. The record is from RefSeq and is a predicted model, not a curated record. Lineage: Eukaryota; Metazoa; Chordata; Mammalia; Chiroptera; Hipposideridae. The transcript is spliced from 3 exons.
CGCGGCUGAGGUCCCGCGGUCGUGUCCCAGGAGCCUGGGCUUCUGUGGCUCCGCGGCUCCGCGGCGCACGCCCCCUGUAGCGCGGGCUCCGCGGUCCCGGGCCCUCGCUGACCUCCGCAGCCGCGACGUCCACCGUUUCCUCCUGCGAGCGCGUAAACCCAAAUCGACCCGGGCCUGCGUCCUGGCCCGCGACCCACGCGGCUCUAGAGGAUUCAGGGGCGGGGGGAGGCGGACGGAGCUCGCUCACGACACGAUUCCGCACGGAUUGGUUUCGUGACCCUGACCACUCCCGGCCUUAACCUCCUCAGCAUUACACUGGGGAUAAUAACCCUUGCCGGGCUCGCCCGCUGGGUUGUAGUGGCACCAUAUAUUCCAGUGGGGGAAGGAGAGGGGUUGGCAGAGACUGGGGUGGAAGCUGGGGGUAAUUCAGGCCUCGGUGAAGGGUGCUCGUGGACGCGUAGGAUCCGCGGAGCACGCCAUGCUUCGGAUAGGUGGGAACCACGAGGCUCCGGGUGGGCACACGUGACGUCUUUGGGGCUUGUCGGCGGUACUGCCCUCGUUGGGCCUGGGGCGGAGCAGCCUCGCGGGGUACCUCCCGCAGGCUCGGGUCCGGCCCGCGCUCUGUACUCGGCUCGGCGCCUACCCCUCCACUUCGCCUAAGGCAGCAACUUUGGGAGACUGCAGAAUCUCGGGCCCGAGCAGGAGCUAAGCGCCCACGGAACCCAGGCUGAAACGGAAGCCCCUCUAGGUUGUCCAGAUAUGCGGACGCGAUGGAGGUAACUCUGGGUCGCCCCCAGAGGUAACCCCCAGAGGAGUCUUCAGAGAUAGUCUCUAAAGGAAGAAGUCUUCCAACGCUUUAUAAAACUAUAAAACCAUCUGGAAAAGGAAGCAUCCACAUGGAUGGAGACAAUUGAAAAUAAAAGCUACACAGCAUUUAAGGGCACUUGUACUUUUGGGCCUCAGAGCAAAUGAAAAUGCGGAAGUAUGGACUUGAAGACCUGCCAGUACAGUUAUAUGAGCAAGUUCUCUGAGCUCACUUACCCUUCCUACUUGCCUGAAGUGGGUUAAAUUUCUGGACACAGAAGAGGAUGUUGGUGAAGGAGAGUUUGUGAAGAACCUUUUCACCAGCAGAAGUAGCGGCAGGGGCAGGGCAGACACUUGGAGAAAUAGAGAAGCCUGUAAAGUGUGUUUAAAGGAAAGCAAAUCCAUUCACAUCUUAACUGUUGAGCCCUGGAUAAUUACUUCAGCAUCUGAAAUGUGAGUCACAUAGGAAAUUGAUAACUGAGCCCCCCCUAUCAAAUCAUCUGAAAACUACUGGUAUGAACAAUCACUAAAGCUAAACUUUUGAAGAAAAAUUCAACAAUAACUCUGAAUUGAUCUUUCGAGAACUUGGUCAGAUCAGUAAAGAGUGACCAUCGAUUCAAAUGAGAG